AGGGAUACCCGCUGAAACUUAAGGCAUAUCAAUAAGCGGAGGAAAAGAAACCAACAGGGAUUGCCCUAGUAACGGCGAGUGAAGCGGCAACAGCUCAAAUUUGAAAUCUGGCGCAAGCCCGAGUUGUAAUUUGUAGAGGAUGCUUCUGGGUAGCGACCGAUCUAAGUUCCUUGGAACAGGACGUCAUAGAGGGUGAGAAUCCCGUAUGUGACCGGCCCGCACCCUUUACGUAGCUCCUUCGACGAGUCGAGUUGUUUGGGAAUGCAGCUCUAAAUGGGAGGUAAAUUUCUUCUAAAGCUAAAUACCGGCCAGAGACCGAUAGCGCACAAGUAGAGUGAUCGAAAGAUGAAAAGUACUUUGGAAAGAGAGUUAAAAAGCACGUGAAAUUGUUGAAAGGGAAGCGCCUAUAACCAGACUUCGCGGCAGUGUUCCGCCGGUCUUCUGACCGGUUCAUUCUCUGUCGCGAGGCCAUCAUCGUCUGGGCCCGCCGGAUAAGACCUUAGGAAUGUAGCUCACCUUCGGGGGAGUGUUAUAGCCUAUGGUGAUGCGGCGAGGCUCGGGCGAGGUCCGCGCUUCGGCAAGGAUGAUGGCGUAAUGGUUGUCGGCGGCCCGUCUUGAAACACGGACCAAGGAGUCUAACAUCUAUGCGAGUGUUCGGGUGUCAAACCCCUACGCGUAAUGAAAGUGAACGGAGGUGGGAACCGCAAGGUGCACCAUCGACCGAUCCUGAUGUCCUCGGAUGGAUUUGAGUAAGAGCAUAGCUGUUGGGACCCGAAAGAUGGUGAACUAUGCCUGAAUAGGGUGAAGCCAGAGGAAACUCUGGUGGAGGCUCGCAGCGGUUCUGACGUGCAAAUCGAUCGUCAAAUUUGGGUAUAGGGGCGAAAGACU
RNAcentral lists this ribosomal RNA (888 nucleotides) under Septogloeum sojae. RNAcentral's name for it is "partial large subunit ribosomal RNA". It matches the Rfam family "Eukaryotic large subunit ribosomal RNA", at positions 17 to 932 of the family's 3401-position model. The record is from RNAcentral. Lineage: Eukaryota; Fungi; Ascomycota.